GACGAACGCUGGCGGCGUGCCUAAUACAUGCAAGUAGAACGCACAGUUUAUACCGUAGCUUGCUACACCAUAGACUGUGAGUUGCGAACGGGUGAGUAACGCGUAGGUAACCUGCCUGGUAGCGGGGGAUAACUAUUGGAAACGAUAGCUAAUACCGCAUAAUAUUAAUUAUUGCAUGAUAAUUCAUUGAAAGGUGCAAUUGCACCACUACCAGAUGGACCUGCGUUGUAUUAGCUAGUAGGUGAGGUAACGGCUCACCUAGGCGACGAUACAUAGCCGACCUGGGAGGGUGAUCGGCCAAACUGGGACUGAGACACGGCCCAGACUCCUACGGGAGGCAGCAGUAGGGAAUCUUCGGCAAGGGACGAAAGUCUGACCGAGCAACGCCGCGUGAGUGAAGAAGGUUUUCGGAUCGUAAAGCUCUGUUGUAAGAGAAGAACGGGUGUGAGAGUGGAAAGUUCACACUGUGACGGUAUCUUACCAGAAAGGGACGGCUAACUACGUG
This 505-nucleotide ribosomal RNA is filed under the name uncultured bacterium. Its description in RNAcentral is "partial 16S ribosomal RNA". It matches the Rfam family "Bacterial small subunit ribosomal RNA", at positions 28 to 507 of the family's 1533-position model. The record is from RNAcentral.